GACGAACGCUGGCGGCGUGCCUAACACAUGCAAGUUGAGCGACGAACCAGGGCUUGCCCUGGGGCAAAGCAGCGAACGGGUGAGUAACACGUGGGUAACCUACCCCGAUAACCGGGACAACCCGAGGAAACUCGGGCUAAUACCGGAUGUGCUCACUGGACUUCGGUUCAGUGCGUAAAGGAAGCUUCGGCCUCCGUAUCGGGAGGGGCCCGCGGCCCAUUAGUUUGUUGGUGAGGUAACGGCUCACCAAGACCGCGAUGGGUAGCUGGUCUGAGAGGACGAUCAGCCACACUGGGACUGAGACACGGCCCAGACUCCUACGGGAGGCAGCAGUGGGGAAUCUUGCGCAAUGCGCGAAAGCGUGACGCAGCAACGCCGCGUGGGGGAAGAAGGCCUUCGGGUUGUAAACCCCUUUCAGGAGGGACGAAGGUUCGGCGGUGAAUAGCCGUCCGGACUGACGGUACCUCCACAAGAAGCCCCGGCUAGCUACGUG
This 493-nucleotide ribosomal RNA is filed under the name uncultured bacterium. Its description in RNAcentral is "partial 16S ribosomal RNA". It matches the Rfam family "Bacterial small subunit ribosomal RNA", at positions 28 to 507 of the family's 1533-position model. The record is from RNAcentral.